GACAAUCCAAUCGUGCGUUUCAAUCAUCUACAGAGCAUUAACCGCAUUCUCACAAUCUCACUCAGGUGAUGUGAUGAUGAGCCACUUCUCUGUCUUCUUCUUCUUCUUCUUCCCUCACAAAAACUACAAACACAUCCUUUUACGAAAUUGCCCUUCACUCCAUAGCCAUGAAUUAUUCUGCCUAUAACGAACGGCCCCCCUAUUAUCCGUACAGUAACCGAUUCAAUUACAUCCGCGAUCCUCAUGGAACCUACCUUCCGA
This 261-nucleotide long non-coding RNA is filed under the name Arachis ipaensis. RNAcentral describes it as "long non-coding RNA (AIPA_LNC000420)". The record is from RNAcentral. Lineage: Eukaryota; Viridiplantae; Streptophyta; Magnoliopsida; Fabales; Fabaceae.